CCUGCACUGGUGGGGUCCCUCGGCCUGGUCUGUGGGGUUUGGGCCAAAACCAGCUCUCUGACACCCCCUGAAGUUCCCCAGAUUGUGGGCCAGGCUGAGGGACCCCACCAGUGCACA
Myotis lucifugus (little brown bat) is the source of this 117-nucleotide non-coding RNA. Lineage: Eukaryota; Metazoa; Chordata; Mammalia; Chiroptera; Vespertilionidae. The record is from Rfam.